This 433-nucleotide ribosomal RNA is filed under the name uncultured bacterium. RNAcentral's name for it is "partial 16S ribosomal RNA". It matches the Rfam family "Bacterial small subunit ribosomal RNA", at positions 29 to 507 of the family's 1533-position model. The record is from RNAcentral.
AACGAACGCUGGCGGCAUGCCUAACACAUGCAAGUCGAACGAGACCUUCGGGUCUAGUGGCGCACGGGUGCGUAACGCGUGGGAAUCUGCCCUUGGGUUCGGAAUAACAGUGAGAAAUUACUGCUAAUACCGGAUGAUGUCUUCGGACCAAAGAUUUAUCGCCCAGGGAUGAGCCCGCGUAGGAUUAGCUAGUUGGUGGGGUAAUGACCUACCAAGGCGACGAUCCUUAGCUGGUCUGAGAGGAUGAUCAGCCACACUGGGACUGAGACACGGCCCAGACUCCUACGGGAGGCAGCAGUGGGGAAUAUUGGACAAUGGGCGCAAGCCUGAUCCAGCAAUGCCGCGUGAGUGAUGAAGGCCUUAGGGUUGUAAAGCUCUUUUACCCGGGAUGAUAAUGACAGUACCGGGAGAAUAAGCUCCGGCUAACUCCGUG